This 644-nucleotide long non-coding RNA is filed under the name Ananas comosus (pineapple). RNAcentral describes it as "long non-coding RNA (ACOM_LNC038521)". Lineage: Eukaryota; Viridiplantae; Streptophyta; Magnoliopsida; Poales; Bromeliaceae. The record is from RNAcentral.
GCCUGCGACCUCGCCGACCCCAGCGUUGCCCCCUCCCUCGACCCCUCCUCGCCGAUCCCAGCUUCGCAGCCGUCGCUGCGGUGAAGGAGAAGGAGGGUGCGGGGGAGGCGGCGGCGGCGAAGGGGAAGGAGGGCGCGGGGGAGGCGGCGGCUGUGAAGGGGAAGGAGGGCGCGGGUGAGGCGGCUGGCGGCGUGGUUGUGACGGAUGCGCGCCAUGGGGUUCCCUGACGACGUGCGCUCGCUCCUGCACUUCCACCGCCCCUCCAAUCCUCUUCUCUGAAUGUGGAGGAUGAGGAUGAGGAUGAGAGGAAGGAGAAAGAGGAAGAAGAAUGGAAAAGAAAUAGUGUGAAAAAUAGAAAAGAAAAUAGUGUAAAUUCGAUCAAAAUAGUGCAAUUUUGUUCUAAAUAGUGUAAUUUUAUUUUAAAGAGUGUAAUUUUUUUUUUAAAGAGUGCAAUUUUUAUUUAAACUGGUGCAAAAAAUUUUAAAACAGUGCAAUUUUUUUUUAAACAGUGUAAUUUCAUCUUCUUCAUUUUUCUUCCAUUUUUUGUCUUUAUUUUUUAUUAUUUUUUUCUACAAUUUUUUUUUCAUGCCUCUCUGCCAACGACCACUGCGCCGGCGAUGACGUCACUAAGGUCUUCCCGCUUC